AUCUUUCGGUGUCUUAUUCCCACAAGCAUCUCGAGGCACAUAUGCCUGGUAGAAUGUAAGAAAAUCGUUGAAAGCACCAGAAUGUUUAAUUUUUGAGCAGCAACACAUCUAAAACGAGGGCAAAUUCUAAUGUCAAUAUAACGAAAAAAAAACAAUGGUGCAUCAUUAUAUACGACCAAUACAGACAAACAGACGAAUGCACAUAGAUAUUCACACAGCACUACAUAAAAAAACAUUAACUGCUGUCAUUGUUCAGUUCAUUGAAACUUCAGGACACGCUCAAGUUUCACAAGGGGAGGCGAAAGGUACUACGCUUUCACUUUAUGUCAGUCACACUAGGAUUGCCACCGCUAACUGCUUUAAACGAAUAAAGACAACGAGUAAAGGUUCUCACCCUCUAGGCAGCCUAUCCCGAGAGAGGUUCCUAUAACGUAAACAGCACAGUAGCAACAGCUGCACAACUACCUGCCGGCCUAAUCUCAACUACACCUAUGGAAGCAAAGUCAAUGGUCGUAUCAUUUUUGUGCGACUUCCUGCAGACACCUGCAAUGAGUUUGCUUACUUCUCGUCAUCCACAUUCCUUGUGCUGCGCAAAUUAAAGGAGAAUUCGCUUGUCAGCUAGUAACAAACCAUGACCCGAUGACCUCCAGGGUUGUAUUAGCACUUCAUCAAGCUUAGCAGAGGAGCACAACCACGCUCGCCACUCACUGCAGUUCCAGCAGGAAGGAAGAAGACUGGAGAUCAUCCACAGCACCCUACUCACCCCCCGGCCAGCACACACAAGAUCUGCUCAGAGUCCAGGGCAAGGAACAACCCAACUUCCGUAAAAGUCAGAGACUGAAGGACAAGAAGGAACCUUAAUAAACAUCUCUCUGUUGAUUUUCAAACAUGAUAUGAAAAUAACAGCUGGAACAGUUGAGACAGUUAACCUAGUUCACAGUUGUACUGAGCAGUGGAUACCCAAAGGACUC
Molecule: long non-coding RNA, 971 nt
Organism: Protopterus annectens (West African lungfish)
Lineage: Eukaryota; Metazoa; Chordata; Ceratodontiformes; Protopteridae
Exons: 3
Source: RefSeq, a predicted model, not a curated record